GAUUUUUUCAUUCUUAAAGCCCCCGGUAGCCAAGGGAACGUGCUCCUUUUUAUGCCAGCUGUCCUGGUCGCAUUGUUUCUUUUAAAAGAUUUAUUGCACCGCUGCUCCCUGCUCCUCUCGCUAUUUCCACUAGAGGAUUUGCAGACGUGGGUGAGUGCUGCAGAACUGCCUGCACCUGUUCCUCCGAGUCCUCCUUCUCCUCCGCAUCUUGCCCUUAUGAGAGGCUCUCCUGCGGGAAUUCCUCUCCCAGGCUCGUGUUUCACUUCCAAGCCGUACCUUUGGAGCCGGGACCGUGCUCCGGAGUCUUGGCACUGCAGAAGCGAGAGGUUUCUCAGGAAUGUCCUCCGAGGCUCUGCGAUCUGCUUCAACUGUUGCAGCCACGUUUAGAUGUGUGGAUAUACAUACACGGAGGACAUUUCUGACAUCCCACCGCAAUGGCAAGCGAUCCCUGCUCGAUUCGAGGGUGACCUCUCCGCGCAGCCGGCGGUGUCCCCAGCCCCCCUGCCCGUGCCGUUCCCUGCUCCAGCUGCUGAGCUCCUCGCAUGUCCCUGCUUUGGGACACUGCCUCGGCUCCGUUUGGAGGGGAUGCUGAGCCCUGCAGGUCUCAUCAGCGGACCAAAGCACACAGAAACCUGCCUGGGAUGUCCCCAAACUGGAGGGGGGAGAAGCCCACGGCAGCACACAGCCCGGCUCCUGUCAGCAUUGUGUCAGCACCCGCCAGCAGCAGCGGUGUCAGGCAGCACAGCCAGACGACGUUGCAAGGGACAAGUGCUUUCCAUUACGCGCUGGAACAAGCUCUCGCUUGCUGCCUGGCAGCUCCUGGGACACAAAGCCCACACGGCCCCGGGGCCCGGUGCUGGCUGCCGCACACAGCUGGGACACCCCGGCAUCCGAGCAAGUGUCACCAGGCACAGAAACGUCCUGUGCAUCCUGACAGCCCCAGGAGAAGCACGAUAUUCAAUGGCAACAAAUCCCCAGGGUGGGAUUUGCUCCCUGCUGCUGUCCCAUGCGAGGUUAAACAAAAAAAGGAGAAUAAAAAUGACCGCGGGAGGAGGGCACAAGCCCCUUCCUUGGCCCCUCAGAGAGAAAGCUCCCACCAGGAUUAAAUUUUCCAUGGAGGGGGGACGUGCACGUGGCCCCGCGGCCGCCCCGGCUUCGGUUUCAGCCACCGGGCUGCCCCCCCGCCUCCUCAGCUGA
Molecule: long non-coding RNA, 1197 nt
Filed under: Anas platyrhynchos platyrhynchos (common mallard)
Lineage: Eukaryota; Metazoa; Chordata; Aves; Anseriformes; Anatidae
Description: lncRNA (ENSAPLG00000030480.1)
Source: RNAcentral